GGGGAAUAUUGCGCAAUGGGGGCAACCCUGACGCAGCCAUGCCGCGUGAAUGAAGAAGGCCUUCGGGUUGUAAAGUUCUUUCGGUAGCGAGGAAGGCAUUUAGUUUAAUAGACUAGGUGAUUGACGUUAACUACAGAAGAAGCACCGGCUAACUCCGUGCCAGCAGCCGCGGUAAUACGGAGGGUGCGAGCGUUAAUCGGAAUAACUGGGCGUAAAGGGCACGCAGGCGAUGACUUAAGUGAGGUGUGAAAGCCCCGGGCUUAACCUGGGAAUUGCAUUUCAUACUGGGUCGCUAGAGUACUUUAGGGAGGGGUAGAAUUCCACGUGUAGCGGUGAAAUGCGUAGAGAUGUGGAGGAAUACCGAAGGCGAAGGCAGCCCCUUGGGAAUGUACUGACGCUCAUGUGCGAAAGCGUGGGGAGCAAACAGGAUUAGAUACCCUGGUAGUCCACGCUGUAAACGAUGUCGAUUUGGGGGUUGAACUUUAGGUUUGGCGCCCGUAGCUAACGUGAUAAAUCGACCGCCUGGGGAGUACGGCCGCAAGGUUA
This 546-nucleotide ribosomal RNA is filed under the name uncultured bacterium. RNAcentral's name for it is "bacterial SSU rRNA". It matches the Rfam family "Bacterial small subunit ribosomal RNA", at positions 356 to 896 of the family's 1533-position model. The record is from RNAcentral.